This 314-nucleotide long non-coding RNA is filed under the name Brassica napus (rape). Its description in RNAcentral is "long non-coding RNA (BNAP_LNC009878)". Lineage: Eukaryota; Viridiplantae; Streptophyta; Magnoliopsida; Brassicales; Brassicaceae. The record is from RNAcentral.
CACGCAAUUCAACCCAAUCUAGAAUUGAUAUGACUUGCAGUUGGUGCUAUCUUAUGGUAAGCAUGUUUGAAUUGGAACAUUGAAUGGGGUGACCUAUCGAAAAGUGAUUCGGAUAUCGUGCGAGUGAGACCAAAUCACAGUAAUUGAUCUCGUCAUGCUUGUAGAGUCUGUAAAUUAAUGUUUUUAGUCUCUCAAAAUUUAUGCACCGGUCUUCACAUGGGAUGGGAGUCAUGGGCCAAGAGAACAAGUACGCGAGUUUCAUUUUUCAUGGAGUCAAGGGUGUUACAUAUGGUAUCAGAGCAUGCUUCCAUCUC